CGGAGUGGACGCAUCACUGGUGUUCGGGUUGUCAUGCCAAUGGCACUGCCCGGUAGCUAAAUGCGGAAGAGAUAAGUGCUGAAAGCAUCUAAGCACGAAACUUGCCCCGAGAUGAGUUCUCCCUGACUCCUUGAGGGUCCUGAAGGAACGUUGAAGACGACGACGUUGAUAGGCCGGGUGUGUAAGCGCAGCGAUGCGUUGAGCUAACCGGUACUAAUGAACCGUGAGGCUUAACCUU
RNAcentral lists this ribosomal RNA (238 nucleotides) under Escherichia coli. Its description in RNAcentral is "partial 23S ribosomal RNA". It matches the Rfam family "Bacterial large subunit ribosomal RNA", at positions 2693 to 2925 of the family's 2925-position model. Lineage: Bacteria; Pseudomonadati; Pseudomonadota; Gammaproteobacteria; Enterobacterales; Enterobacteriaceae. The record is from RNAcentral.